RNAcentral lists this ribosomal RNA (433 nucleotides) under uncultured bacterium. Its description in RNAcentral is "partial 16S ribosomal RNA". It matches the Rfam family "Bacterial small subunit ribosomal RNA", at positions 29 to 507 of the family's 1533-position model. The record is from RNAcentral.
AACGAACGCUGGCGGCAUGCCUAACACAUGCAAGUCGAACGAGACCUUCGGGUCUAGUGGCGCACGGGUGCGUAACGCGUGGGAACCUGCCCUUAGGUUCGGAAUAACUCCCCGAAAGGGGUGCUAAUACCGGAUAAUGUCUUCGGACCAAAGAUUUAUCGCCUUUGGAUGGGCCCGCGUUGGAUUAGCUAGUUGGUAGGGUAAAAGCCUACCAAGGCGACGAUCCAUAGCUGGUCGGAGAGGAUGAUCAGCCACACUGGGACUGAGACACGGACCAGACUCCUACGGGAGGCAGCAGUGGGGAAUAUUGGACAAUGGGCGAAAGCCUGAUCCAGCAAUGCCGCGUGAGUGAUGAAGGCCUUAGGGUUGUAAAGCUCUUUUACCCGGGAUGAUAAUGACAGUACCGGGAGAAUAAGCUCCGGCUAACUCCGUG